Molecule: non-coding RNA, 110 nt
Organism: Cajanus cajan (pigeon pea)
Lineage: Eukaryota; Viridiplantae; Streptophyta; Magnoliopsida; Fabales; Fabaceae
Source: Rfam
UGCAUUAGCUUUUCUAUAACCCAUCUCAUCAGAACUCCACAGUUAAGCGUGUUUGACCUAGAGUAGUAUAAGGAUGGGUGACCUUCUGGGAAGUUUUCCAGAAAAUGUGC